AGUGAACGCUGGCGGUAGGCCUAACACAUGCAGGUCGAACGGCAGCACAGUAAGAGCUUGCUCUUACGGGUGGCGAGUGGCGGACGGGUGAGGAAUACAUCGGAAUCUACUUUUUCGUGGGGGAUAACGUAGGGAAACUUACGCUAAUACCGCAUACGACCUACGGGUGAAAGCAGGGGAUCUUCGGACCUUGCGCGAUUGAAUGCGCCGAUGUCGGAUUAGCUAGUUGGCGGGGUAAAGGCCCACCAAGGCGACGAUCCGUAGCUGGUCUGAGAGGAUGAUCAGCCACACUGGAACUGAGACACGGUCCAGACUCCUACGGGAGGCAGCAGUGGGGAAUAUUGGACAAAGGGCGCAAGCCUGAUCCAGCCAUACCGCGUGGGUGAAGAAGGCCUUCGGGUUGUAAAGCCCUUUUGUUGGGAAAGAAAAGCAGCAGGUUAAUACCCCGCUGUUCUGACGGUACCCAAAGAAUAAGCACCGGCUAACUUCGUG
RNAcentral lists this ribosomal RNA (492 nucleotides) under uncultured bacterium. RNAcentral's name for it is "partial 16S ribosomal RNA". It matches the Rfam family "Bacterial small subunit ribosomal RNA", at positions 29 to 507 of the family's 1533-position model. The record is from RNAcentral.